Long non-coding RNA from Melopsittacus undulatus (budgerigar), 295 nucleotides. RefSeq lists it as uncharacterized. The record is from RefSeq and is a predicted model, not a curated record. The transcript has 3 exons. Lineage: Eukaryota; Metazoa; Chordata; Aves; Psittaciformes; Psittaculidae.
GGAAGCGGGCGGAGGGUGCGCGGUGCGGCCUGCGCAGCCUCGGGCUCGAGUGAGCGCUGCGGCCGCCGCCCCCCCUGCGCCGCCCGGCUGCGGAGCUACGCGAGGCCCCGGCUCGGGCCUGGUCCGGAGCGGGCAUGGAGGGUUGUGGCCCCCCCAACAGCGCCCCCUGCGUGAGACCUCAGCGCACAGGUGCUGAGUGCGGCGCUGGAGCUUCCUGAACCGGACGAGCGGCUCCCCCUGGGCCCUGCCCCCCCCAGCGCCCCCCAGCGGCCCCUCCCCCCCGGGCAUGGAGGAG